RNAcentral lists this long non-coding RNA (516 nucleotides) under Setaria viridis. RNAcentral describes it as "long non-coding RNA (SVIR_LNC006384)". The record is from RNAcentral. Lineage: Eukaryota; Viridiplantae; Streptophyta; Magnoliopsida; Poales; Poaceae.
GGGGUGAGAUCAAGAUAUGCAAAAUACACACGGAUCUGAACAUUUCUGAUCCGUUGACAAAACCACUCCCGCAGGCUAAGCAUGAUGCGCAUGUAAGAGCUAUAGGUAUUAGGUACCUUCUAGAUUGACUCUAGUGCAAGUGGGAGACUGUUGGAGGUAUGCCCUAGAGGCAAUCAUAGAGAUGAUGAUAUUCCAUUUGUAUCCAUGAUUUGUAUGUUGUGUUCAUUGAAUAUCCAUUGAAGGCUACUUGAAUUGAUUUGUAAUUAUGUGAAUUGUAUGUGAAACUCUUUACUUGUAUGGUUAUUCUAAAGUUGUCCCUAGUCGGAGUUCAUGUGAGGACACACAUGAAUAUUAGACUAGCACAUGUAUUAGUUGAUGACUAUGUUUCACAAGUCAUGGACAUGGAGAUGUUGAACUAAUAAUGUGGACACAUGUGGAGACAUGUGCUAGGACUGACCCAACACGAGAAGUAGUUCUCUCUUUAAACAACAUAUACGCUUUGUCCUUAGACCUGAG